GAUUCUAUUUAGGUUGGUGCAAAAGUUAUUGAGGUUUUUGCUAUUACUUUUAACGGCAAAAACUGCAAUUAUUUUCGCACCAACCUAAUAA
This 91-nucleotide microRNA precursor is filed under the name Chlorocebus sabaeus (green monkey). RNAcentral's name for it is "miRNA (ENSCSAG00000026861.1)". The record is from RNAcentral. Lineage: Eukaryota; Metazoa; Chordata; Mammalia; Primates; Cercopithecidae.